AUACGGAGGGUGCAAGCGUUGUUCGGAAUUAUUGGGCGUAAAGCGCGUGUAGGCGGUCUGUUAAGUCUGGUGUGAAAGCCCUGGGCUCAACCCAGGAAGUGCAUUGGAUACUGGCAGACUUGAGUAUGGGAGAGGAAAGCGGAAUUCCGAGUGUAGGAGUGAAAUCCGUAGAUAUUCGGAGGAACACCAGUGGCGAAGGCGGCUUUCUGGACCAAUUCUGACGCUGAGACGCGAAAGCGUGGGGAGCAAACAGGAUUAGAAACCCCAGUAGUCC
This 274-nucleotide ribosomal RNA is filed under the name uncultured bacterium. RNAcentral describes it as "partial 16S ribosomal RNA". It matches the Rfam family "Bacterial small subunit ribosomal RNA", at positions 523 to 796 of the family's 1533-position model. The record is from RNAcentral.